Molecule: ribosomal RNA, 468 nt
Filed under: uncultured bacterium
Lineage: Bacteria
Description: partial 16S ribosomal RNA
Rfam family: Bacterial small subunit ribosomal RNA
Source: RNAcentral
GACGAACGCUGGCGGCGUGCUUAACACAUGCAAGUCGAACGGAAAGGCCCUGCUUUUGUGGGGUGCUCGAGUGGCGAACGGGUGAGUAACACGUGAGUAACCUGCCCUUGACUUUGGGAUAACUUCAGGAAACUGGGGCUACUACCGGAUAGGAGCUCCUGCUGCAUGGUGGGGGUUGGAAAGUUUCGGCGGUUGGGGAUGGACUCGCGGCUUAUCAGCUUGUUGGUGGGGUAGUGGCUUACCAAGGAUUUGACGGGUAGGCGGCCUGAGAGGGUGACCGGCCACAUUGGGACUGAGGUACGGCCCAGAGUCCUACGGGAGGCAGCAGUGGGGAAUAUUGCACAAUGGGCGGAAGCCGGAUGCAGCAACGCCGCGUUCGGGAUGACGGCCUGCUGGUUGUAAACCGCUUUCGCCUGUGACGAAGCGUGAGUGACGGUAAUGGGUAAAGAAGCACCGGCUAACUACGUG